AGAACGAACGCUGGCGGCAUGCCUAAUACAUGCAAGUCGAACGAACUCUUCGGAGUUAGUGGCGCACGGGUGCGUAACGCGUGGGAAUCUGCCCCUUGGUUCGGAAUAACAGUUGGAAACGACUGCUAAUACCGGAUGAUGACGAAAGUCCAAAGAUUUAUCGCCAAGGGAUGAGCCCGCGUAGGAUUAGCUAGUUGGUGAGGUAAAGGCUCACCAAGGCAACGACCCUUAGCUGGUCUGAGAGGAUGAUCAGCCACACUGGGACUGAGACACGGCCCAGACCUCCUACGGGAGCAGCAGUAGGGAAUAUUGGACAAGUGGG
RNAcentral lists this ribosomal RNA (322 nucleotides) under uncultured soil bacterium. Its description in RNAcentral is "bacterial SSU rRNA". It matches the Rfam family "Bacterial small subunit ribosomal RNA", at positions 26 to 376 of the family's 1533-position model. The record is from RNAcentral.